Molecule: ribosomal RNA, 155 nt
Filed under: uncultured bacterium
Lineage: Bacteria
Description: partial 16S ribosomal RNA
Rfam family: Bacterial small subunit ribosomal RNA
Source: RNAcentral
UGAGGAAUAUUGGUCAAUGGGAGAGAUCCUGAACCAGCCAAGCCGCGUGAGGGAAGACGGCCCUAUGGGUUGUAAACCUCUUUUGUCGGAGAACAAACCCGGGACGUGUCCCGGACUGCGUGUAUCCGAAGAAAAGCAUCGGCUAACUCCGUGCC